Molecule: long non-coding RNA, 1177 nt
Filed under: Cricetulus griseus (Chinese hamster)
Lineage: Eukaryota; Metazoa; Chordata; Mammalia; Rodentia; Cricetidae
Description: lncRNA (ENSCGRG00015041226.1)
Source: RNAcentral
AGCACGUCUCAGGUUGAUAGCCUUGGAUGUAUUAAAAGUAUUUUUUUCUAAAUUUUUUUUUUUUUUUAACUGCCAAAUCGGCAGUCUGUUCCCUAAAGCUCCGGUUAGCGAGACUAUAGGGUUUUAUUCUGGCUGCAGAAUAACUGGCUGGUGUGGCUUUGCAAAGGGGGGCAAAAAGAAAAGAGAGAGAGAGGGAGUACGUGAGUCGUCCAGUGAAAUCUCUAUUGUUUGAAAUUUACCUUUUAUCAGAAUUUGAAGAUGAAAACGACAAAUCUUUAAAACUCUAGACUACUCGCGGAUGUAGAAUUCCGGGGCUUACAGGUAUUUUAUGAUGUGAAAAAUAUGCGCUCAUUGUAUGAAUUUACAUGUUGUGUGAGAUGGACUUGAUUAUGAUCAUCGUGCUCUUUUAACUAAUCACCGGAUAGUGGUGGAGAAAGUAAUGAUGAUGUGUGUUUUCAAUCGUUUUCCAGAUUUAUGCAAUUGCCUUCUGCAAAUCCGUUUCAUGUCAGUGUCUUUAGUAUUCAGAGAAGUGCAUAUUUUAUGCCUGUGCUCUCAGGCCAGCAGAAGUGUGCUGGCUGUAGCGCUGAUGCUCUAGAAUAUGGUAAGCUCUUAAUAGGCUAAUCAGAGAUGAAAGCGUGUGGUUUUGAUUUACUUUUGCCCACUUGGGCCAUGCUAGACUCAACUCUCUGGAGCCUUGUUUAUCAGGAUAUGUCUGGAUAUAUGGUACAUGAGACUAAAGUUUAGGGAUUGAGGAGCGAGAACAAGAGUGCUGGAGGAAGUAUUGGAAAAUCUUUCUGAUAAUAUGUGCUAUAAUUUCUGUCUUUGAUAAGUUUUCCACUUGUGCUAGGAGCAGAGAAAGCAAGCCAGAGUAAGAAAGCACACUGAGAGGGAACAAGAGAGUAAGUUUCUUACUCUUGUUUUUAUUUGAGCUGCUGGUGCAACGCGUUUGGGCCAAAUGCCAACUGUCUGGGUCACACGCGUUUUAUCCAAAUAGAUUUAGCGCUGCUGUCUGGAAAUGGGCUGCUGAAUGUUAACUUUAGGAUCAACUCAACCAGGGCAGCUCAGACUGUUACCCUCUGUCUGGAUGAAGUGGAAUGGGAAGGGGGGUGGUGGUGAGGGUGUGCAAAGCCCCAGGCUGAGGGGGGAGGGGGGACGACAACUACAAACUAUUGCUUGG